UACGUAGGGCGCAAGCGUUGUCCGGAAUUAUUGGGCGUAAAGAGCUCGUAGGCGGCCUGUUGCGUCCGCUGUGAAAUCCCGGGGCUCAGCCCCGGGCCUGCAGUGGAUACGGGCUGGCUGGAGGCAGGCAGGGGAGAACGGAAUUCCUGGUGUAGCGGUGAAAUGCGCAGAUAUCAGGAGGAACACCGGUGGCGAAGGCGGUUCUCUGGGCCUGUUCUGACGCUGAGGAGCGAAAGCGUGGGGAGCGAACAGG
This 253-nucleotide ribosomal RNA is filed under the name uncultured bacterium. Its description in RNAcentral is "partial 16S ribosomal RNA". It matches the Rfam family "Bacterial small subunit ribosomal RNA", at positions 524 to 776 of the family's 1533-position model. The record is from RNAcentral.